UUGAGCUGCUCUGUUGAAGCAGAGGAGAGUUUACUGACUUUGGUGAGGAUGGUCCUUUUAGAGGCCCCAAUAUCCUGGAGAUGCCCUGUUUGAGAAUGUGCCUUUUUGUUCCCUCACCCUCCAUGAGCAGGGUGUAAGUAAUGACGUUUUAUAGACCCAAACCCAGAGCAUCGCAGCAGAGCCUGGGGAAGCCUGGAGGCCCAUUGCUAAUGCAACUUCCUCUGCUGGUGUGGUGUCUCCAGCCCCAAGCACCGAUGUGAGACAUUAAUUUCUCAAGCCAAUGACAGCUGUGUCUUUGAACAGCGAUGGAGAAAGAACAGUUGAUCAGUGAGUGUAAGGACUCUGCAGAGGUCUGCAUCUGGGCACAGGCUGUGGUCAGCAGCACAGCACUCCAGCGUUUAUCACUGGACUGAACAUACGUGCCAGGAGCCGGUGGGGCUGGGGACACUGGAGGGCUUGUGCUGUGCUGGUGGGCUCGCUGCCACCCCUCUGUGGGACAGGGACAGCCGUGUGCUGGCCUGCACAAAGGCAGCCUCUCAGCGAGGCAAGAGCCAGUUUUCACUUUUGUUCUUUCCCAGCUGCCACUCUUGCAGUGGGAGGUCAGUGGCUGCAACACAGGAACUGGUUCCAGUCCCGUGAAGCUUGGCGCAUGCUGGUGUCGGUGGGGAGCAGGGCUGUGCCCACAGCUCUGUCCCCUUCCAGCAGGCUCUCUGUCACUCUUUAUUCUCAUUUGGCUUUGCCAGUACCGGCUGCAAGCGUUCACUGAGAGCAGGAGCACUCUUCCAGCCAGCGAGCCCCACGAGGGCAGGUUUGUGGACUCUCUGGAUGUGGCGGGGCACGGGGACAUGGCCAUGGACUCCCCUCCGCUGUUUGCUGACUGCGAGAUGCAUCUGCCAGUGCCUCACACCUACAGUGUCCAGGCGAGCUCCCGUGGCUGCUCUGCUGCAGCGUCUGUCGUGGCACAGGGUGCUCCGCGGGGCUGCAGCGGGCAAUGCCACCAGCGUGGCAUCCCUGA
Molecule: long non-coding RNA, 1015 nt
Organism: Aquila chrysaetos chrysaetos
Lineage: Eukaryota; Metazoa; Chordata; Aves; Accipitriformes; Accipitridae
Exons: 3
Source: RefSeq, a predicted model, not a curated record